AGUGAACGCUGGCGGUAGGCCUAACACAUGCAAGUCGAACGGCAGCACAGGAGAGCUUGCUCUCUGGGUGGCGAGUGGCGGACGGGUGAGGAAUACAUCGGAAUCUACUCUGACGUGGGGGAUAACGUAGGGACACUUACGCUAAUACCGCAUACGACCUACGGGUGAAAGCAGGGGAUCUUCGGACCUUGCGCGAUUGAAUUAGCCGAUGUCGGAUUAGCUAGUUGGCGGGGUAAAGGCCCACCAAGGCGACGAUCCGUAGCUGGUCUGAGAGGAUGAUCAGCCACACUGGAACUGAGACACGGUCCAGACUCCUACGGGAGGCAGCAGUGGGGAAUAUUGGACAAUGGGCGCAAGCCUGAUCCAGCCAUACCGCGUGGGUGAAGAAGGCCUUCGGGUUGUAAAGCCCUUUUGUUGGGAAAGAAAUCCAGCUGGCUAAUACCCGGUUGGGAUGACGGUACCCAAAGAAUAAGCACCGGCUAACUUCGUGCCAGCAGCCGCCGCCG
This 506-nucleotide ribosomal RNA is filed under the name uncultured bacterium. RNAcentral's name for it is "partial 16S ribosomal RNA". It matches the Rfam family "Bacterial small subunit ribosomal RNA", at positions 29 to 523 of the family's 1533-position model. The record is from RNAcentral.